Molecule: ribosomal RNA, 465 nt
Filed under: uncultured bacterium
Lineage: Bacteria
Description: partial 16S ribosomal RNA
Rfam family: Bacterial small subunit ribosomal RNA
Source: RNAcentral
GACGAACGCUGGCGGCGUGCUUAACACAUGCAAGUCGAACGGAAAGGCCCCUUCGGGGGUACUCGAGUGGCGAACAGGUGAGUAACACGUGAGUAACCUGCCCUUGCCCUCGGGAUAACUUUAGGAAACUGGGGCUAAUACCGGAUAGGAAUCUUUGCUGCAUGGUGGGGGUUGGAAAGCUUCGGCGGUUUUGGAUGGACUCGCGGCUUAUCAGCUUGUUGGGGGGGUAGUGGCUUACCAAGGCUUUGACGGGUAGCCGGCCUGAGAGGGCGACCGGCCACAUUGGGACUGAGAUACGGCCCAGACUCCUACGGGAGGCAGCAGUGGGGAAUAUUGCACGAUGGGCGGAAGCCUGAUGCAGCAACGCCGCGUGCGGGAUGACGGCCUUCGGGUUGUAAACCGCUUUCAGCAGGGGCGAAGCUUGUGGUGACGGUACCUGCAGAAGAAGCACCGGCUAACUACGUG